CUGUUAGACUGGAACUGUAGUUGGCCCAAACUAAAACGAUACAAAACUGAAUAAUGAAUGACAUUUUCUAAGUUUUUAGAAAACCUGUAGGUUCUGACUGGAAGAAGCAAAUGCUUAGGGAAGCUGACCCAGAUGAAUGACGCCCAAGAAAGGGAGAAUAAACUUGGUUUACAACUCAAUUUCAAGUUUUCUCCUUUUGGCCUGGGACAUGGAACUCAGACUUCUCUUCUGUGAAUUCUGACAAUGGGCCUGAAGAUGCAGGUUCCAAUUGAACGAGGGUCCUAAUUGCUGUCAGGUGAAAAGGCAAUGUGAGCACCAUCUAGAAUCCCAUUAAUAAUAGAGGUCUGUAGUACAUUCCACCAGGCACUGACCUGGGAGCUGUCCUGUCCAACGUUUGUACAAAUGGUUUAGUUAACAACAUUGAUGACAGGUGCCUGGCUGGCUCAGUCGGUAGAGCAUCUAGCUCUUGAUCUCAGGGUUGUGAGUGGGAACCCCAUGUUGGGUGUAGAGAUUACUUUAAAAAUUAAUUAAAAAAAAAAGAACAUUGAUGACAGGUGAUCACAUGUGUAGAUAACAAGAAUAUGGGAGAGACAAUAUAUUGUUGGAGAGGAGAAUCAGAAUGCAAAGAGAUCUUGAUAGGCUAGAUCAAAUCUAACAAGAUUUAGGGUUUUAUUUUUUUUAAUUUUAGAGAGACAAGGAGAGAACAGGGGAGAGGGGCAGAAGAAGAGAGAGAAAAUCCCAAGCAGGCUCCACACUCAGCUUGGUGCCCGACACAGGGCUUGAUCCCACGACCCUGGGAUCAUGACUUGAGCCGAAAUCAGGAGUCAGGUGCUCAAACUACUGAGCCAUCCAGGCACCCCACAAGACUUAGUUUAAGUGGAUUAAAUGUAAAGUAUAGCGCAAAGGUUAUGUAUGUGUAUACUCUGUAGGCAAUAUAGAAUAAUGUUUUGAAAAUUACUUAGGAGACUGAACAGAAAUAUGGGCAAAGUAGGCAAUUAAAAUAGAGGACAUAGGGGCACCUGUGUGGCUCAGUCGGUUAAGUGUCUGACUUUACCUCACUCAGGUCAUGAUCUCAUGGUUCAUGAGUUUGAGCCCUCCAUUGGACUCUCUCUGUGGUGUCAGUGCAGAGCCCGCUUCAGACCCUCUGUCUCCCUGUCUCUUGCUCUUUCAAAAAUAAAUAAGCAUUAAAAAAAAAAAAA
Long non-coding RNA from Neofelis nebulosa (Clouded leopard), 1199 nucleotides. RefSeq lists it as uncharacterized. The record is from RefSeq and is a predicted model, not a curated record. NCBI's taxonomy places the organism in Eukaryota, Metazoa, Chordata, Mammalia, Carnivora, Felidae. The transcript is spliced from 2 exons.